CCCUUAGAUGUUCUGGGCCGCACGCGCGCUACACUGACGAAUGCAACGAGCUUAUAACCUUGGCCGAAAGGUCUGGGUAAUCUCCAAAUUUCGUCGUGAUGGUGAUAGAUUAUUGCAAUUAUUAAUCUUCAACGAGGAAUGCCUAGUAAGCGCAAGUCAUCAGCUUGCGUUGAUUACGUCCCUGCCCUUUGUACACACCGCCCGUCGCUCCUACCGAUUGAAUGGUCCGGUGAAGCGUUCGGACCGUGGCCUUUGGACGGUUCGCCGUCUGUUGGCUGCGGGAAGUUCGUUAACCUUAUCAUUUAGAGGAAGGAGAANUCGUAACA
Molecule: ribosomal RNA, 326 nt
Filed under: uncultured eukaryote
Lineage: Eukaryota
Description: partial 18S ribosomal RNA
Rfam family: Eukaryotic small subunit ribosomal RNA
Source: RNAcentral